RNAcentral lists this ribosomal RNA (253 nucleotides) under uncultured bacterium. RNAcentral describes it as "partial 16S ribosomal RNA". It matches the Rfam family "Bacterial small subunit ribosomal RNA", at positions 524 to 776 of the family's 1533-position model. The record is from RNAcentral.
CACGUAAGGAGCGAGCGUUGUUCGGAAUUAUUGGGCGUAAAGGGCAUGUAGGCGGUUUUGUAAGUCUGAUGUGAAAGCGUGCAGCUUAACUGCAUUGUUGCGUUGGAAACUGCGAAACUAGAAUUCGAGAGGGGUAUGUGGAAUUCCUUGUGUAGGGGUGAAAUCUGUUGAUAUAAGGAAGAACACCAGAGGCGAAGGCGACAUACUGGCUCUGAAUUGACGCUGAGGUGCGAAAGCGUAGGUAGCGAACAGG